CGUCGUAGAUGCGAUUCUGUGGGGUUUGAGGAGCUUAACACCUUCAUGCUUUCCAUAUUCGUGCUCUUGGGUGUAUUUGCCCGUGUGGUUGGUUAACAUCAAUUUUGGUGGUCAUAAAAUGACUGGAGGAAUGUAGCUUCGAUCUCGUAUUGAAGUGUUAUAGCCUUCGGUAGAUGUGAUGAUCGAGAUUGAGGAUUGCAACGGAUACCCUUCGGGGCUACCUGUCUGAUCUCUGAUCGUUGCUCUGGUGCCGAAAGCUUGCUUACGGUUAUCAAAGUCGAUGGUCAAUAGGUUAGAACGGGUUAAAUUCGUUAAGGAUGUUGACGUAA
This 329-nucleotide ribosomal RNA is filed under the name uncultured fungus. RNAcentral's name for it is "LSU rRNA". Lineage: Eukaryota; Fungi. The record is from RNAcentral.